Molecule: transfer RNA, 73 nt
Filed under: termite gut metagenome
Description: tRNA-Arg
Rfam family: tRNA
About the family: Transfer RNA (tRNA) molecules are approximately 80 nucleotides in length. Their secondary structure includes four short double-helical elements and three loops (D, anti-codon, and T loops).
Source: RNAcentral
GGCCUCGUAGUUCAACGGAUAGAACGGAAGUUUCCUAAACUUUAGAUAGGGGUUCGAUUCCCCUCGGGGCUAC